GACGAACGCUGGCGGCGUGCUUAACACAUGCAAGUCGAACGGAAAGGCCCUGCUUUUGUGGGGUGCUCGAGUGGCGAACGGGUGAGUAACACGUGAGUAACCUGCCCUUGACUUUGGGAUAACUUCAGGAAACUGGGGCUAAUACCGGAUAGGAGCUCCUGCUGCAUGGUGGGGGUUGGAAGGUUUCGGCGGUUGGGGAUGGACUCGCGGCUUAUCAUCUUGUUGGUGGGGUAGUGGCUUACCAAGGCUUUGACGGGUAGCCGGCCUGAGAGGGUGACCGGCCACAUUGGGACUGAGAUACGGCCCAGACUCCUACGGGAGGCAGCAGUGGGGAAUAUUGCACAAUGGGCGGAAGCCUGAUGCAGCAACGCCGCGUGCGGGAUGACGGCCUUCGGGUUGUAAACCGCUUUCGCCUGUGACGAAGCGUGAGUGACGGUAAUGGGUAAAGAAGCACCGGCUAACUACGUG
RNAcentral lists this ribosomal RNA (468 nucleotides) under uncultured bacterium. RNAcentral's name for it is "partial 16S ribosomal RNA". It matches the Rfam family "Bacterial small subunit ribosomal RNA", at positions 28 to 507 of the family's 1533-position model. The record is from RNAcentral.